UCUAAUAUGGCAGAAUAGUGCGUUGGAUUUAAGCCCCAGAUAUAAAGAUAAUUUUAUUAGAA
Molecule: transfer RNA, 62 nt
Filed under: Tenebrionoidea sp. 19 KM-2017
Lineage: Eukaryota; Metazoa; Arthropoda; Insecta; Coleoptera
Description: tRNA-Leu
Source: RNAcentral